GAUGAACGCUGGCGGCGUGCUUAACACAUGCAAGUCGAACGAGAAGUGAAGCCGGAAACCUUCGGGCGGAAGGCUUUAUUUCGAGUGGCGGACGGGUGAGUAACGCGUGGGUAACCUGCCUCAUACAGGGGGAUAACAGUUGGAAACGACUGUUAAUACCGCAUAAGACCACAGCACCGCAUGGUGCGGGGGUAAAAACUCCGGUGGUAUGAGAUGGACCCGCGUUCGAUUAGCCAGUUGGCGGGGUAACGGCCCACCAAAGCGACGAUCGAUAGCCGAUCUGAGAGGAUGACCGGCCACAUUGGGACUGAGACACGGCCCAAACUCCUACGGGAGGCAGCAGUGGGGAAUAUUGCACAAUGGGGGAAACCCUGAUGCAGCGACGCCGCGUGAGUGAAGAAGUAUUUCGGUAUGUAAAGCUCUAUCAGCAGGGAAGAAAAUGACGGUACCUGAGUAAGAAGCCCCGGCUAACUACGUG
Molecule: ribosomal RNA, 478 nt
Filed under: uncultured bacterium
Lineage: Bacteria
Description: partial 16S ribosomal RNA
Rfam family: Bacterial small subunit ribosomal RNA
Source: RNAcentral